UACGUAGGGGGCAAGCGUUGUCCGGAUUUAUUGGGCGUAAAGCGCGCGCAGGCGGUCUACCAAGUUCGGAGUGACAGUUUCCGGCUUAACCGGAAAAGGUCUUCGAAAACUGGUGGACUUGAGGACUUGAGGGAGAGACGGAAUUCCGGGUGGAGCGGUGAAAUGCGUAGAGAUCCGGAGGAACACCGAAAGCGAAGGCAGUCUCCUGGCAAGUUUCUGACGCUCAGGUGCGAAAGCUAGGGGAGCGAACAGG
Molecule: ribosomal RNA, 253 nt
Filed under: uncultured bacterium
Lineage: Bacteria
Description: partial 16S ribosomal RNA
Rfam family: Bacterial small subunit ribosomal RNA
Source: RNAcentral